Molecule: long non-coding RNA, 166 nt
Organism: Thalassophryne amazonica
Lineage: Eukaryota; Metazoa; Chordata; Actinopteri; Batrachoidiformes; Batrachoididae
Exons: 3
Source: RefSeq, a predicted model, not a curated record
UUUGAGGCUGUUCUUGGUGGGGUCCACGAUCAGCACUUUGGUGAUCUGGUGGGAUAUCCAGUUGAGUUCUGGCACAGGAGAGACGUCUCCCUGCAGCACUGGCAGAAGUUGUAUGAAUUCUCAUGUGUCUGUUCAGGCUGCUCUUUAGUCCAAAUCUUCGAUCACA